Long non-coding RNA from Equus caballus (horse), 6332 nucleotides. RefSeq lists it as uncharacterized. Lineage: Eukaryota; Metazoa; Chordata; Mammalia; Perissodactyla; Equidae. The record is from RefSeq and is a predicted model, not a curated record.
CUCAGGCGUCCAGGAACUCUAGGCCUGUAGGUCAGGGGUCAGCCCGCUCCGCAGGACAUCUUCCCAGGACCCGGCGGUUCCCCCACUGCACUCCUGAAGUGGAAAGAGGAAGGUCGUUUGAGCCGGCCCCUUUGGGCCCUGUGGCGGGAAGACACCCAGGGCCUCUGGGGAGUCCGGUCUCCGGGGCGUCUGUCCUCUGAGGCCCUCCCUACACCGCCCUGGAUGCAAGGGGUGCAAAACUAGAGAGCUCGCCGGAGAUCUGGCUUCAGGGGCACAGGCGUCUCGGUUAGGGGCGUGCUGAACCUUGGCAGCGGAGUGCGUUUCCCAAAGCCCCAGCCUUGGACCUUGCAGUAAUAAAAAUCAGCCAGAUCGUGUAUCUGCACAAAGCUGAGAGGUACAAAGUGUGAAGAUAUUUUUGUGAUAAGCAGAUGCCCUGAAGAAGUCACCUGCUGCAGAGGAGGCUUCCAAUAACCAGACAGACAAGCUCACCACCAGACUGCUAAGGGACAUCACCUAGACACCCACGUCUCCUCUGCCAUCUCCUGGCCCCUUGAAAUGAGCAGUAGAGGAAUUUGAUGGAUAUUGUCAGGCAUCUUGCCGCGUUUUGCUCUGUGUCUCUUGGAAAGAGUCCCGUGCACUGGAAGUGCUCCAUCAGAAGGAUGCAUAUCUACAACAUUUAGAAGAAUAGUAAAAGUACAGCAAAUUAAGGAUGUAUACCUGUUCUUCAGUCUUAACCAACACACCAGUUACUCAGCACUUCUGUUACUGAAAACAAUUGAGAAUCAAAUUAUAAAUAGAAUUAAAAAGAUGCCUGUGGCAAAUUGAAUUAUUGUGUCUUAAUUAUUCAUCACUCUCUGUAUUCAUACGCUUUGUCACAUAAUUUUGUAACCUCCUACAGAAGGUGGGCUCUACUUUUCUCCCCCUUUGGGCUUAGCCAAUGGAUAUGAGUGAAGGUGACACAACUGAUGGCAAAGAACAUGACCAAUGGGCUCGCUCUCUUGCAUUUCUGCCAUCAAGAGAAGAGCAUCCUGCUGUCCCUCUGGUCCAAGGAGAUGAGACAAACUUGAGGAAGAGCUACAUGGCUGGCCUGAAAACCUACAGCUUGAGGGGUAGAUUCAGCUCAGGUCAGCUGAUUCUCAACUGAAACGCAGACUCAUCAGCUAUCAGUUAAGUGGCGCGGCCAAUUUUCAGUCAGACACAGUGGCAAAGAUUUAUGAGAAAAUGCUUUUUUCCUAUAAGUUUGUGAUAUUUUAUUAUAGAAAAUAUCUUAUUGAUGCUUUAUACCUGUGAUUAAAGUAAUUAUCACAAGUUCGCAUUUACUAAGUCUAUGUCUUUAACUCAUGGUGGAUCUCCUUAAUGCUCUUUUCAGAAAGACAGUUACCUUAAUCAUCCGUAAUUCUAAAAAUGUGGUCAUAAAAUAAAAAUAUAAAAAUUUUGAUGCAUGAAAGAUAUAGCCUCAAUUCUUUAGAAAAUUAAAAGGCCCAGAAUAACUCAUUUUCCUGGAAUUACAUACCGUUAAACACCCCCUGAAAAGUAAUUAAAGCAUUCAGUGGAAGAUGACUUAUAUUAAGAUCCUGGAAAAACUUGGUUUAGAUUAUAAGUAGGAGUGAUAUGUGUCUAUAUAGAACACCUCAUUCAGUAAAGAGUUCACCACUGCCACUGUGCAUCAUCGGUCGUUACAAGACCCAGUGUGGCGCUAGAAGAAAGAUAGGCUUAUUUUAGCUGAUGGGAGUCUCAAGGGCAUGUGUUGAUUUAGAGAUAAAAGAAAUAGUGGAAAUGAUUUUGGUGUUGAAUAUUAAAUGAAAGCACUUCAACUUUAAGGGGAAAUUCCUCAUGUCUGUGGUCACCAAAAAGUAUUUGUGGCUUACUGAUUUUACAUCCUGAGAGAUAAACUUUUUAUGUCCACCUACUCUACUUUAAAACUUAUACCGUUUUGUUAAGGGUUUACUCAUCUGUGUAUUCUCAUUUGGAGGAACCUGGGUCUGCAGCUCAAUGCUUUACAUACUUAGCACCAAGGAAAGGCCAUGCUUGGAUGUAGUGGCUGUCGUCAGUCUCCACUGAACAGUAAGGAUCACCAAGAAUAAUGAAUUCUCCUCAUGGUGAAGGCAAUUUUGCUGCAGUGGCAGAACAACUUUUUUCCAAAGUUCUGUUUGUAAACCAGAAGAUGCCUUUUUGUUUUCUUUAUCUGACCAAGUUUUGUCUAUUUGUGAGUGUUCUAGCUCAUGUAAAUUUCUGUGAUUCUCUCUCCAGCCCCAUUCUACAGAAUCAUUGCCAAACUUAUUGGUAAUCAUGCUUUCAGUUUAUGACAUUCUCUGCACUUCCUGGUUGUUAGCCACCAGACCCUUCUCCUGGAACCGGGGAACUUUUGAUACCUAGCGUGAUCAUUUUCUUCACACCCUAACACUUGCCUUUUCUCACUUCCACUUGAGAAACUUCUACGUGCUGUGGUUAUGUAAAUAAAGAGCAGCUUAGGCAGAUAUCUAACAGGAAACGCUCAGGUAGGUAGAAGUUGAACAAAAUGAGAUUUCUGUCCACAUAAUCCUACCUGGUGAUGGAGGGCAGAGAGAAAGUAACAUUUAGCCAAAAUGACAUUUCAAAGAUGAAGUUAACUAAGCUAGUGAAAAAUUCCGGGUGCAAAAUUUUCCCUCAGAGAAGAGAGCACCCUGAGCCUGGUAGGAAGAUGGGCUGUAUCAGUUUCCUGUGGCUGCUGGAACAAAGUCCCACAAAUUGAGUGAGUGGAUUAAGACAACAGAAAUGUAUUCUCUCACAGUGCGGCAGAUGUGGGGAGAAAUACAAGUCAACUUUAGAGUUGGUUAGAAAGACAAGAAAAUUUGGGCCUGCAUGCAAAAAAGUAUGCAUUUUUUACAUUUACAUUUUUACAUUUUACGUUUACAUUUGCAUUUACAUUUUCUGCCUACCCCUAAAAUAAUACAAGGAUAAGGUUGAAGUACAAAUCUAAGAACAUUUUUAUCAAAAUAAUACAAGGAUAAGGUUGAAGUACAAAUCUAAGAACAUUUUUAUCAAUCUAACUGUUGUUAGUAAAGAGAAGAAAAAUAGCAUAGUAAACAUAAAACCUUAAUAAUGUGGUGAAAGUAAGUCCAAAUAUAUCAUAAGCCACAUGAAUAUUAUUCUUGCCUACUAAAACACUGAAACUCUCAGAUAAUAUUAUUUUUAAAGUGUUCACUCUGGUUAGCAUUACAAAGGAAGGAUGUGUUAUGGGAGUUGAAGAUGGAUUGGAAGGGAGAAAGUGUAAAGGGCAAGAAAAUUUCAGAGAUUAUUUCAAUAUUGGUGGUAGGAAUAGAAAUGGAGUAAAAUAGAUAUAUUAAUGAGAUAUUUAGAAAGUAGGUUGAAUAGUUUAUCAUAUGAUCCAAGGGUUAGAAGCUCAUGUAUUCCAAAAUCUUACAACUCUCUGAAGUUACCUUUACCACUGAACUUUUAAAAUAACUGACUAUAGGUCCCAGGCCCCCAAACUGAGAAAUCUAUUUCCCCCUUUCUGUUCGCACUAUUUCUCAAGAUUCUUGUGUAACUGGUAGGUCUCUUAGUGAUCUGAUACUUACAUCCUGUCUCUUCUGAAUUCUCAGUCUUUAUUAUACAUUAAAUGUCCUAUGACUUUCUGUCCCAUCUUCCAUCAAAUGUGUCAUAAAAUUCUUUGUUUCUUGUAACCAGUAAUAUCAUAAAGCAUUGUAGUAUAUCAGACUUUUAUUCAAAAUGGUGAGUCAUAGAAGAAUGUAACAGAAUAGCAUCAAGUUUAGAGUAUUAGUCAUCCUUUAUCUUAAGACUUCCUCAGCCUUCCCUGCCAUCAUGAGUUUAUUCCUGGUUUUCAUUAUUCUGCAGCUAUGUCCCUAAACCAUGUGAUUUGAUCUUAUCUUUUCCCUUCUUACAUCUAACCCUCCUUCCACUUUUUUUUAUAGUGCUGCUCACUACACACUGCUUUCUUAAAAAAGAAAAGCACAAUUUAAAAUGAAUUCCUUUCCUUUUUUUUUAAUACAAGCAAUUGCAUCCUUCAUUUGUACUGCCCCUUCAUUCUAGGUCAUGAACUGAUCAUGAGCUGAACAUGAACUGAAUGGGAGCAGUCUUUUAACAUUCAAUUAGGCCAUAAAGACGUGUUGUAAAAUAAAUAACACUUUUCUUCCUAAAAGGAAAUCUGAAGUUCAAGGAUGAUUCCUGGGUUUCUAGCUGGUACCAUUUAUUGAUCUGGAAACAGAACAGGGCCAGUAUUUGGGGGGUUAGAGGGAGAAUUGGAAUUGUGAGUUCCAUUUUGAGUAUUCUGAGUUUAAAGUACCCGAGGAAAACCCAUUUGAACUGAAAGUCGAGGAAGAAGCUAAGCAUACAACAUUGUAGCUCAGAGAAUUAUAUAUUCUAAGAAUCCUUUCCAUAUAAAUAAUAAUUGAAGCCAUGGGAAUCUCUGUGGUGAACACAGAAGAUAGGAUAGAAUGAAAGAAGAGCAUUUAGUAAGCCAUAAUAACUCCAACAUUCAGAGUUUGAAUAGAUGAAGAGCAAGAGAGACCGACCAAGAAUUUGCCAGAGAGAUAGAAUGAAAUCCAGGGGUUUCUAGUGAUCUUGGAAGCCAAAUGAGGUAGAGGUGGGAGAAAGUAUUUUUCAAGAAAGUUGUGAUCAACAGCAUAUUUCAAAUGUUUCCAUGGGGUCCAACAAAAAUAUAUCCAAGAUAAUCCAUGGGUCAUAAUUAGCAACGUUUAAUAAUAGUUUCAUUGGAAUCAUAUGGGUGGGAAUCAGAUCGGAAUGGUUUUAUGCAGCAAGUAAGUGGGGUUGUAGAGACUGUCAGUGUGUUUAAAGUUUUUGAGAAGUUUAGCUUUGAGCAGAGGAGUGGGUAGUUGGAGGGAAAGUUGGAACCAAGGAAGAAGGGUUUUACUUUUCUUAAAAUGGGAAAGACUUGAUCAUGUUUGUUUAGUAUUUGUUUUUCGUUCAUGUUUAAAAGCUGAUGCAAGGAAAGGAGUGGGGAGGUUGAUGAAAAUAAUCUGGGAGGAAAGGGAUGAGUGAAGCCCCUGACAGAAAGGAUGCCAUCAGGGGCUGUAGACUGAGCAAGCCUUAAUAUUCAUUUGAGUAAAAUCAAAAUAAAAGGCUUACACACAGAAAACCCAUAGACCCCGGUAUUGAAUUCCUGCCAUUAAUUCAGUUACACAGGAGCACAGAUUAGUAAAAGGCAAAUUAUCUUGGAGAAAGUUUCCAAACUUUGUGUUUUAAUUUUUUUGCAGUAAAACACAUUGUAAGUUAGAAAACGUAAUUCAACAAUUUUCGUUACUGGUGUCCUGAAUAGAGUAAUACAUUUCUCUUCUAAAUUGUCUCGUAUCUUGUUUUUAAUGCUUAUAUUUUCCAUUUCAUUUCUGUACAAAAUAUGCUCUGAAAGACUGUUGUUUUCAUUCAGAGAAAAAGCGUUGAUCCAGAAAUGUUCGCACAUAAUUUAAACAAAAAUGCGGUGCUAAAUUCCUUACAGCCUUUUGACCAUGUUUCUAUCAGCAGCUUUAAAACUAAUGAGCACCCUUGGGAAGUGAGAAAUAGGAAAGAUUGCUUGACAAUCACAAUCAAUGGAUAAAUUCCUCUUUAGAAUGUGUUUGUAUAAAGAAGUCUUGGAAUUCAAAAUAUAUUUCCAGCACCGGUUGAAGAGAAUUUUAUUAAGUCAUUAUCACAAUAAAGACAUUGUGCCAAGUAUAGGGGAUCAAAGAUGGACAACCCUCUAGGACCUUCUAGGGUAAGGUUUCAGGAUCACCAUUCUAACCAACACUUUGUCUGUGUGGGUGAUGGAAAUACCAUUGAAACUAUAACCAAGACUUUACAGAUUGGCAUCACAUUUUAGGAACCACUCUCCAGAUAGCAUCCUCACUCCAAAAAAUUAUAAAAUAAACUGAAAAAGGAAUUCCAAAAUUGGUUUGCACUUCCAGAAAGACAUUAAAUGAGAUAAAGUCCAUAGACCCCGACAUCAUUUUUCAUAUGCACGUCUCUCCUUCUCGGCUCCCUCUCACAUCCAUACGCGUCAGAUCUUCUCAUUCACUGUUAUGUACAAAGAACAGUCAACCUGCCACUCAACCGUCUCAGUCUCUUCCAUUUACCUCUCCUCAUUUUCCCCACUCUUACGGUCCACCCGCAAACACAGUCUCCAUACGUGAUUCUACAUUCAGAACGUCCAGUGUCCCUACCUUGCUUUGCUGACUAUUUUGCCUUGCAGAAGAUAGGGGAAAAAAUCAUGAGGCAAAAUAUUUACGACAAUUGUUUCAAGUUGUCUUUCCCCUUGACAAUUGUUUGAAAUCCAGCCCAUAGCCCAGACCACAGGGCAAAAUGUUCUGGGAUCUUUUCUUCAUUCUAUCCCUGAUUGUUUA